GGCCUUCCUCUUUGGGGCGAUCGAUCACGGGGCUCCGCUAUUGAUAGCCCCAAAGAGGUAGGCC
This 64-nucleotide microRNA precursor is filed under the name Myotis brandtii (Brandt's bat). RNAcentral's name for it is "mir-9242 microRNA precursor family". It matches the Rfam family "mir-9242 microRNA precursor family". Lineage: Eukaryota; Metazoa; Chordata; Mammalia; Chiroptera; Vespertilionidae. The record is from Rfam by way of RNAcentral.